Molecule: ribosomal RNA, 400 nt
Filed under: Escherichia coli
Lineage: Bacteria; Pseudomonadati; Pseudomonadota; Gammaproteobacteria; Enterobacterales; Enterobacteriaceae
Description: bacterial LSU rRNA
Rfam family: Bacterial large subunit ribosomal RNA
Source: RNAcentral
GGGUUGUGAGGUUAAGCGACUAAGCGUACACGGUGGAUGCCCUGGCAGUCAGAGGCGAUGAAGGACGUGCUAAUCUGCGAUAAGCGUCGGUAAGGUGAUAUGAACCGUUAUAACCGGCGAUUUCCGAAUGGGGAAACCCAGUGUGUUUCGACACACUAUCAUUAACUGAAUCCAUAGGUUAAUGAGGCGAACCGGGGGAACUGAAACAUCUAAGUACCCCGAGGAAAAGAAAUCAACCGAGAUUCCCCCAGUAGCGGCGAGCGAACGGGGAGGAGCCCAGAGCCUGAAUCAGUGUGUGUGUUAGUGGAAGCGUCUGGAAAGGCGCGCGAUACAGGGUGACAGCCCCGUACACAAAAAUGCACAUACUGUGAGCUCGAUGAGUAGGGCGGGACACGUGGUA